UACGAGGGGGGCAAGCGUUGUUCGGAAUUAUUGGGCGUAAAGGGCGCGUAGGCGGUUUGACAAGUCUGAUGUGAAAUCUAUGGGCUCAACCCAUAGCCUGCAUUAGAAACUGUCGGGCUUGAGGACUGGAGAGGAGACUGGAAUUCACGGUGUAGCAGUGAAAUGCGUAGAUAUCGUGAGGAAGACCAGUGGCGAAGGCGGGUCUCUGGACAGUUCCUGACGCUGAGGCGCGAAAGCCAGGGGAGCAAACGGG
RNAcentral lists this ribosomal RNA (253 nucleotides) under uncultured bacterium. RNAcentral describes it as "partial 16S ribosomal RNA". It matches the Rfam family "Bacterial small subunit ribosomal RNA", at positions 524 to 776 of the family's 1533-position model. The record is from RNAcentral.